This 497-nucleotide ribosomal RNA is filed under the name uncultured bacterium. Its description in RNAcentral is "partial 16S ribosomal RNA". It matches the Rfam family "Bacterial small subunit ribosomal RNA", at positions 28 to 507 of the family's 1533-position model. The record is from RNAcentral.
GAUGAACGCUGGCGGCGUGCCUAAUACAUGCAAGUCGAGCGAACAGAUGAGGAGCUUGCUCCUCUGACGUUAGCGGCGGACGGGUGAGUAACACGUGGAUAACCUACCUAUAAGACUGGGAUAACUUCGGGAAACCGGAGCUAAUACCGGAUAAUAUAUUGAACCGCAUGGUUCAAUAGUGAAAGACGGUUUUGCUGUCACUUAUAGAUGGAUCCGUGCCGCAUUAGCUAGUUGGUAAGGUAACGGCUUACCAAGGCAACGAUGCGUUGCCGACCUGAGAGGGUGAUCGGCCACACUGGAACUGAGACACGGUCCAGACUCCUACGGGAGGCAGCAGUAGGGAAUCUUCCGCAAUGGGCGAAAGCCUGACGGAGCAACGCCGCGUGAGUGAUGAAGGUCUUCGGAUCGUAAAACUCUGUUAUUAGGGAAGAACAAAUGUGUAAGUAACUAUGCACGUCUUGACGGUACCUAAUCAGAAAGCCACGGCUAACUACGUG